AGCGAACGCUGGCGGCAGGCCUAAUACAUGCAAGUCGAACGGUCUCUUCGGAGGCAGUGGCGGACGGGUGAGUAACGCGUGGGAACGUGCCCUUUGGUACGGAACAACUGAGGGAAACUUCAGCUAAUACCGUAUGUGCCCUUCGGGGGAAAGAUUUAUCGCCAUUGGAGCGGCCCGCGUUGGAUUAGCUAGUUGGUGGGGUAAUGGCCCACCAAGGCGACGAUCCAUAGCUGGUCUGAGAGGAUGAUCAGCCACACUGGGACUGAGACACGGCCCAGACUCCUACGGGAGGCAGCAGUAGGGAAUCUUGCGCAAUGGGCGAAAGCCUGACGCAGCCAUGCCGCGUGAAUGAUGAAGGUCUUAGGAUUGUAAAAUUCUUUCACCGGGG
This 388-nucleotide ribosomal RNA is filed under the name uncultured bacterium. RNAcentral's name for it is "bacterial SSU rRNA". It matches the Rfam family "Bacterial small subunit ribosomal RNA", at positions 29 to 444 of the family's 1533-position model. The record is from RNAcentral.